This 90-nucleotide transfer RNA is filed under the name Sulfoacidibacillus thermotolerans. RNAcentral's name for it is "Acidibacillus sulfuroxidans tRNA-Ser". It matches the Rfam family "tRNA". Rfam says of the family: Transfer RNA (tRNA) molecules are approximately 80 nucleotides in length. Their secondary structure includes four short double-helical elements and three loops (D, anti-codon, and T loops). Lineage: Bacteria; Bacillati; Bacillota; Bacilli; Caryophanales; Alicyclobacillaceae. RNAcentral also lists the same sequence under 1 other name. The record is from RNAcentral.
GGAGAGAUGUCCGAGUGGUCGAAGGAGCUCGCCUCGAAAGCGAGUAGUCCUUAACGGGGCUCGUGGGUUCGAAUCCCACUCUCUCCGCCA